RNAcentral lists this ribosomal RNA (468 nucleotides) under uncultured bacterium. RNAcentral's name for it is "partial 16S ribosomal RNA". It matches the Rfam family "Bacterial small subunit ribosomal RNA", at positions 28 to 507 of the family's 1533-position model. The record is from RNAcentral.
GACGAACGCUGGCGGCGUGCUUAACACAUGCAAGUCGAACGGUAAGGCCUUGCUUUUGUGGGGUGCUCGAGUGGCGAACGGGUGAGUAACACGUGAGUAACCUGCCCUUGACUUUGGGGUAACUUCAGGAAACUGGGGCUAAUACCGGAUAUGAGCUCCUGCUGCAUGGUGGUGGUUGGAAAGUUUCGGCGGUUUGGGAUGGACUCGCGGCUUAUCAGCUUGUUGGUGGGGUAGUGGCUUACCAAGGCUUUGACGGGUAGCUGGCCUGGGAGGGUGACCGGCCACAAUGGGCCUGGGGUACGGCCCAGACGCCAACGGGGGGCAGCGGUGGAGAACAUUGCACAAUGGGCGGAAGCCUGAUACAGCGACGUCGCGUGCGGGAUGACUGCCUGCGGGUUGUAAACCGCUUUCGCCUGUGACGAAGCGUGAGUGACGGUAACGGGUAAAGAAGCACCGGCUAACUACGUG